AGAUGAGGAAUUCUAAAGAUAACCUAGCAAAGGGGGCGAUCUACUAAACCAUAUGAAUCCCUAAUGAGAAACCCUAUUC
This 79-nucleotide small RNA is filed under the name Arabidopsis thaliana (thale cress). RNAcentral describes it as "ATSL265430". Lineage: Eukaryota; Viridiplantae; Streptophyta; Magnoliopsida; Brassicales; Brassicaceae. The record is from RNAcentral.